This 856-nucleotide ribosomal RNA is filed under the name uncultured bacterium. RNAcentral's name for it is "SSU rRNA". It matches the Rfam family "Bacterial small subunit ribosomal RNA", at positions 524 to 1381 of the family's 1533-position model. The record is from RNAcentral.
UACGAAGGGACCUAGCGUAGUUCGGAAUUACUGGGCUUAAAGAGUUCGUAGGUGGUUGAAAAAGUUAGUGGUGAAAUCCCAGAGCUUAACUCUGGAACCGCCAUUAAAACUUUUCAGCUAGAGUAUGAUAGAGGAAAGCAGAAUUUCUAGUGUAGAGGUGAAAUUCGUAGAUAUUAGAAAGAAUACCAAUUGCGAAGGCAGCUUUCUGGAUCAUUACUGACACUGAGGAACGAAAGCAUGGGUAGCGAAGAGGAUUAGAUACCCUCGUAGUCCAUGCCGUAAACGAUGUGUGUUAGACGUUGGAAAUUUAUUUUCAGUGUCGCAGCGAAAGCGAUAAACACACCGCCUGGGGAGUACGACCGCAAGGUUAAAACUCAAAUGAAUUGACGGGGACCCGCACAAGUAGUGGAGCAUGUGGUUUAAUUCGAAGAUACGCGCAGAACCUUACCAACACUUGACAUGUUCGUCGCGACUCUAAGAGAUUAGAGUUUUCGGUUCGGCCGGACGAAACACAGGUGCUGCAUGGCUGUCGUCAGCUCGUGUCGUGAGAUGUUGGGUUAAGUCCCGCAACGAGCGCAACCCUCACUUUUAGUUGCCAUCAUUAAGUUGGGCACUCUGAAAGAACUGCCAGUGAUAAGCUGGAGGAAGGUGGGGAUGACGUCAAGUCCUCAUGGCCCUUACGUGUUGGGCUACACACGUGCUACAAUGGUAUCUACAACAAGAAGCAAGACUGCGAGGUCAAGCAAAUCCUUAAAAGAUACCUCAGUUCGGAUUGCACUCUGCAACUCGAGUGCAUGAAGCUGGAAUUACUAGUAAUCGUGGAUCAGCGUGCCACGGUGAAUGCGUUCCCGGGUCU